CAGCCUCCCACCGCGGGGCGCGGCCCGGGCUGCCGGGAGUGCUGCGCGCCGCGACCCCCAGACAGCUGGGACCCCCGCGGGGUGCUCACAAGACCGGACCCUUCCCCUGAAGGAUGUCCCGCCGAGCGCCUAGCCACCUCUUGUUUGUUACAAGUGACCUGACACCACCGAAGGAUGGAGCUGAGAGGUGGGAAGAAUGUCACCUUGGCUGACUUCAAUGAUCCCACAGGGCACUCUUGGAAGGGCUCUGUGUACCAAUUCUUGCUCAGCCUCUUUGUUGUGAUCUGAGAAGAGUCUCUCCAAGUCCCCAUGCCUCUGUUCUGGCUCCUAUCCUGAGUGAGAUGGACACUUCAGAAGGGCUAGGAUCUGGCACAAAGCACACUGCUUACUAGUGUGAGAAUUGCCAGAUGGGAAUAAAAGCAAUGGCACUAAACAUGCCUUGACCGCAGCCAGUCAUCCCAGGGCACUGAGAACAAGGGAGACUCUGCUAAUACUCACCAAGGGUUGAUCAAGUUCCUUGGGUAUCUGCUA
RNAcentral lists this long non-coding RNA (531 nucleotides) under Cricetulus griseus (Chinese hamster). RNAcentral describes it as "lncRNA (ENSCGRG00015043041.1)". Lineage: Eukaryota; Metazoa; Chordata; Mammalia; Rodentia; Cricetidae. The record is from RNAcentral.